This 288-nucleotide unclassified non-coding RNA is filed under the name uncultured fungus. RNAcentral describes it as "sequence contains ITS2". The record is from RNAcentral. Lineage: Eukaryota; Fungi.
AACGCACCUUGCGCUCCUUGGCAUUCCGAGGAGCAUGCCUGUUCGAGUGUCUUUAAAACAGUCGACCCCAAGUCAUUGUUGGGGCUCGGAUAUUGGAUGUUGUGCAGCCUUCUUCCCCGAGGGUUGCUCGUCCCAAACUCAUUAGCCGCGACGCGUUUCGUCCUGGUGGUGGAGUGUAAAUGCAUCUCCGCGAAAGCCAGCCUGUCGUGCCGCGCGGCUGCCAGCCGUCUUCUUGACACACGUUCUUUUUUUGGCCUCGAAUCAGGCAGGACUACCCGCUGAACUUAA